This 499-nucleotide ribosomal RNA is filed under the name uncultured bacterium. RNAcentral describes it as "bacterial SSU rRNA". It matches the Rfam family "Bacterial small subunit ribosomal RNA", at positions 17 to 518 of the family's 1533-position model. The record is from RNAcentral.
UUAUGGCUCAGGAUGAACGCUGGCGGCGUGCUUAACACAUGCAAGUCGAACGGGGUUUAAGAAGGAAGCUUGCUUUCAUUUAAACCUAGUGGCGGACGGGUGAGUAACGCGUGAGGAACCUGCCCUUCAGUGAGGAACAACAACUAGAAAUGGUUGCUAAUACCGCAUAAUGUCGGAGAGCCGCAUGACAUUCCGACCAAAGGAUUUAUUCGCUGAAGGAUGGCCUCGCGUCCGAUUAGGCAGUUGGUGAGGUAACGGCCCACCAAACCUACGAUCGGUAGCCGAACUGAGAGGUUGAUCGGCCACAUUGGGACUGAGACACGGCCCAGACUCCUACGGGAGGCAGCAGUGGGGAAUAUUGGGCAAUGGGCGAAAAAGCCUGACCCAGCAACGCCGCGUGAAGGAUGACGGUCUUCGGAUUGUAAACUUCUUUAAUUGGGGAAGAACAAAAUGACCUACCCAAAGAAUAAGUCACGGCUAACUACGUGCCAGCCGCAGC